Molecule: ribosomal RNA, 839 nt
Filed under: Lacticaseibacillus rhamnosus
Lineage: Bacteria; Bacillati; Bacillota; Bacilli; Lactobacillales; Lactobacillaceae
Description: bacterial SSU rRNA
Rfam family: Bacterial small subunit ribosomal RNA
Source: RNAcentral
CUCGGCUUAACCGAGGAAGUGCAUCGGAAACUGGGAAACUUGAGUGCAGAAGAGGACAGUGGAACUCCAUGUGUAGCGGUGAAAUGCGUAGAUAUAUGGAAGAACACCAGUGGCGAAGGCGGCUGUCUGGUCUGUAACUGACGCUGAGGCUCGAAAGCAUGGGUAGCGAACAGGAUUAGAUACCCUGGUAGUCCAUGCCGUAAACGAUGAAUGCUAGGUGUUGGAGGGUUUCCGCCCUUCAGUGCCGCAGCUAACGCAUUAAGCAUUCCGCCUGGGGAGUACGACCGCAAGGUUGAAACUCAAAGGAAUUGACGGGGGCCCGCACAAGCGGUGGAGCAUGUGGUUUAAUUCGAAGCAACGCGAAGAACCUUACCAGGUCUUGACAUCUUUUGAUCACCUGAGAGAUCAGGUUUCCCCUUCGGGGGCAAAAUGACAGGUGGUGCAUGGUUGUCGUCAGCUCGUGUCGUGAGAUGUUGGGUUAAGUCCCGCAACGAGCGCAACCCUUAUGACUAGUUGCCAGCAUUUAGUUGGGCACUCUAGUAAGACUGCCGGUGACAAACCGGAGGAAGGUGGGGAUGACGUCAAAUCAUCAUGCCCCUUAUGACCUGGGCUACACACGUGCUACAAUGGAUGGUACAACGAGUUGCGAGACCGCGAGGUCAAGCUAAUCUCUUAAAGCCAUUCUCAGUUCGGACUGUAGGCUGCAACUCGCCUACACGAAGUCGGAAUCGCUAGUAAUCGCGGAUCAGCACGCCGCGGUGAAUACGUUCCCGGGCCUUGUACACACCGCCCGUCACACCAUGAGAGUUUGUAACACCCGAAGCCGGUGGCGUAACCCU